Myodes glareolus (Bank vole) is the source of this 512-nucleotide non-coding RNA. NCBI's taxonomy places the organism in Eukaryota, Metazoa, Chordata, Mammalia, Rodentia, Cricetidae. The record is from RefSeq and is a predicted model, not a curated record.
AAGAGUCAGGGUGAGAGCAAAGUACAUCAUUUGGUGUGAAAGACAUCCAUGGCCAGGAACCCAGACCGGAGUACACUAACAGGAAGGCACCCAGGAAGGUUCUGGUCAGGUACUCCAUGAUGUCUGAUUGGACAGCGCUGACAGGAGUGUGGUGGAACCAGCGCAUGACAGGCACCCCAUCGGACCCCACCAGGAACUUCUCGAAGUUCCAGCGUAUGUCAUGGACCUUCAUGGGAUUCCAGAAGAGAUAUUCCGAAGAACCCAACAGUUCAGAGAUUUUCCCUAUUCUCAUCCUCAAAGAAGCCAAAUGUGGAGAGAGAACUUGGGCAUUUCCUGAGGGCUACUUGGAAUUCAAGGCAUCAUGAUGGCAUUCUUCAAUCCAUUGUUCCAUCACCUACCUAGUGAGAAGAUUCUGGAACAUGAAGGUUCUUGUUUUCCAAACUGGUUGCAAGGAAAGCCCAAAACGAUGACAUUGAAGCGCUCCAGCUCCUCCUGCAGUUUGUUCAGUUCUG